This 253-nucleotide ribosomal RNA is filed under the name uncultured bacterium. RNAcentral describes it as "partial 16S ribosomal RNA". It matches the Rfam family "Bacterial small subunit ribosomal RNA", at positions 524 to 776 of the family's 1533-position model. The record is from RNAcentral.
UACGGGGGGGGCAAGCGUUGUUCGGAAUUAUUGGGCGUAAAGGGCGCGUAGGCGGCGCGGCAAGUCUCCUGUGAAAUCUCCGGGCUCAACUCGGAGUCUGCAGGAGAAACUGCCGUGCUUGAGUGUGGGAGAGGUGAGUGGAAUUCCCGGUGUAGCGGUGAAGUGCGUAGAUAUCGGGAGGAACACCUGUGGCGAAAGCGGCUCACUGGACCACAACUGACGCUGAGGCGCGAAAGCUAGGGGAGCAAACAGG